UUGGAGGGCAAGUCUGGUGCCAGCAGCCGCGGUAAUUCCAGCUCCAAUAGCGUAUAUUAAAGUUGUUGCAGUUAAAAAGCUCGUAGUUGAAUUUCGGGGUCAGUAGGUUGGUCGUGCCACUGGUACGUACUGGUCUCACUGAUUCCUCCUUCCUGAUGAACCGUAAUGCCAUUAAUUUGGUGUUGCGGGGAGACUGGACUGUUACUUUGAAAAAAUUAGAGUGUUUAAAGCAGGCUAACGCUUGAAUACAUUAGCAUGGAAUAAUGAAAUAGGACGUUCGAUCCUAUUUUGUUGGUUUCUAGGAUUGACGUAAUGAUUAAUAGGGAUAGUUGGGGGCAUUAGUAUUCAAUUGUCAGAGGUGAAAUUCUUGGAUUUAUUGAAGACUAACUACUGCGAAAGCAUUUGCCAAGGAUGUUUUCAUUAAUCAAGAACGAAAGUUAGGGGAUCGAAGACGAUCAGAUACCGUCGUAGUCUUAACCAUAAACUAUGCCGACUAGGGAUCGGAUGAUGUUAAUUUUUUAAUGACUCAUUCGGCACCUUACGGGAAAC
RNAcentral lists this ribosomal RNA (549 nucleotides) under uncultured Glomus. Its description in RNAcentral is "SSU rRNA". It matches the Rfam family "Eukaryotic small subunit ribosomal RNA", at positions 548 to 1098 of the family's 1831-position model. Lineage: Eukaryota; Fungi; Glomeromycota; Glomeromycetes; Glomerales; Glomeraceae. The record is from RNAcentral.